Molecule: ribosomal RNA, 429 nt
Filed under: Gemmatimonadota bacterium
Lineage: Bacteria; Pseudomonadati; Gemmatimonadota
Description: Gemmatimonadetes bacterium partial 16S ribosomal RNA
Rfam family: Bacterial small subunit ribosomal RNA
Source: RNAcentral
UAGGGAAUCUUCGGCAAUGGACGAAAGUCUGACCGAGCAACGCCGCGCGAGUGAAGAAGGUUUUCGGAUCGUAAAACUCUGUUGUUAGAGAAGAACAAGGACGUUAGUAACUGAACGUCCCCUGACGGUAUCUAACCAGAAAGCAACGGCUAACUACGUGCCAGCAGCCGCGGUAAUACGUAGGUGGCAAGCGUUGUCCGGAUUUAUUGGGCGUAAAGCGAGCGCAGGCGGUUUCUUAAGUCUGAUGUGAAAGCCCCCGGCUCAACCGGGGAGGGUCAUUGGAAACUGGGAGACUUGAGUGCAGAAGAGGAGAGUGGAAUUCCAUGUGUAGCGGUGAAAUGCGUAGAUAUAUGGAGGAACACCAGUGGCGAAGGCGGCUGUCUAGUCUGUAACUGACGCUGAGGCUGGAAAGCGUGGGGAGCAAACAAG